GAUGAACGCUGGCGGCGUGCCUAAUACAUGCAAGUCGAGCGAACGGACGAGAAGCUUGCUUCUCUGAUGUUAGCGGCGGACGGGUGAGUAACACGUGGAUAACCUACAUAUAAGACUGGGAUAACUUCGGGAAACCGGAGCUAAUACCGGAUAAUAUUUUGAACCGCAUGGUUCAAAAGUGAAAGACGGUCUUGCUGUCACUUAUAGAUGGAUCCGCGCUGCAUUAGCUAGUUGGUAAGGUAACGGCUUACCAAGGCAACGAUGCAUAGCCGACCUGAGAGGGUGAUCGGUCACACUGGAACUGAGACACGGUCCAGACUCCUACGGGAGGCAGCAGUAGGGAAUCUUCCGCAAUGGGCGAAAGCCUGACGGAGCAACGCCGCGUGAGUGAUGAAGGUCUUCGGAUCGUAAAACUCUGUUAUUAGGGAAGAACAUAUGUGUAAGUAACUGUGCACAUCUUGACGGUACCUAAUCAGAAAGCCACGGCUAACUACGUG
Molecule: ribosomal RNA, 497 nt
Filed under: uncultured bacterium
Lineage: Bacteria
Description: partial 16S ribosomal RNA
Rfam family: Bacterial small subunit ribosomal RNA
Source: RNAcentral